Molecule: transfer RNA, 69 nt
Filed under: Janus sp.
Lineage: Eukaryota; Metazoa; Arthropoda; Insecta; Hymenoptera; Cephidae
Description: tRNA-Leu
Source: RNAcentral
UCUAAUAUGGCAGAUUAGUGCAUUAGAUUUAAACUCUAAAUAUAAAAUUAGAUUUAAUUUUUAUUAGAA